This 253-nucleotide ribosomal RNA is filed under the name uncultured bacterium. RNAcentral's name for it is "partial 16S ribosomal RNA". It matches the Rfam family "Bacterial small subunit ribosomal RNA", at positions 524 to 776 of the family's 1533-position model. The record is from RNAcentral.
UACGGGGGGGGCGAGCGUUGUCCGGACUCACUGGGCGUAAAGGGCGCGUGGGCGGGAUGGUAAGUCGGUGGUGAAAAUCCCCGGGUCAACCGGGGACUUGCCGCCGAAGCUGCCAUUCUUGAGUGCGGGAGAGGGAGGUGGAAUUCCUGGUGUAGCGGUGAAAUUCGUAGAGAUCAGGAAGAAGACCGGUUGCAAAGGCGGCCUCCUGGCCCGUCACUGACGCUGAGGCGCGAAAGCGUGGGGAGCAAACAGG